Long non-coding RNA from Brachypodium distachyon (stiff brome), 656 nucleotides. RefSeq lists it as uncharacterized. The record is from RefSeq and is a predicted model, not a curated record. Lineage: Eukaryota; Viridiplantae; Streptophyta; Magnoliopsida; Poales; Poaceae. The transcript has 2 exons.
CGGCGAGGCCGACGUGGGGUGAGAUGGUCGGCACCGUGGCCCAGGAGCUGACGGCACCGGUUGGUGUCGCCAGAUCUGUGAGGCGCCUACGUCGUGGUUGGAGGCGCCGGCUCUGGUGCGUGUGGUGGUGGAGAAGGCCUCUGGCAUCGUCGGUAGAACACUGCACCAACCCCUUUUGCAAUCAAGGUGCCUCAAGCGAAAGCUAAGAUCUGGUUUUUCUGUAUCGGGCAACGAUGGCGUCUUCGGACGCCGUGCCUUCCUUGGAGGCGUUGCCUUUGGAGCCCUGGAUUGGUGGCAAACGAUGCUUGUAGUGGUGAGGCUGAGUUGGGUUUGGCCAGAGAUGACGGCUUCGAGUUGCGCGGGCUUGCCAAUGCACGAGUUGUACCUGUCGGGGUGACCUUUUCUUUGCUUCGGUCGCCGGAGAGGUCCAGUUCUGCCUGCCUUCUUCUGGCGUAAGGAGCUACUUUCUGUUCGGCGUCAUUGGAACGGGUGACGGUUCGUCUUUGCAGUUGCGACUUGUUUGUCGGCUCUGCUUUGUAAUGCUUGUGGUCAAGGUUUUCGUGUGGUUUUCCUUGAAUAAGCCGUGCAGCUUGGUUUUCCUUAUAAAUGAAGCCAUUUUAUUAUUCUUAAUGAAAUGCAGUAGCACGUUGGCCUCU